AAACUAUUUAUACUUUGUUUUGAAAACAAAGUUUAAGAAUUUUAUUCUUGUAGUUUU
Molecule: transfer RNA, 57 nt
Filed under: Oesophagostomum dentatum (nodular worm)
Lineage: Eukaryota; Metazoa; Nematoda; Chromadorea; Rhabditida; Strongylidae
Description: tRNA-Ser2
Source: RNAcentral